RNAcentral lists this ribosomal RNA (425 nucleotides) under uncultured bacterium. RNAcentral describes it as "partial 16S ribosomal RNA". It matches the Rfam family "Bacterial small subunit ribosomal RNA", at positions 354 to 796 of the family's 1533-position model. The record is from RNAcentral.
GUUAGGAAUAUUGGACAAUGGGCGCAAGCCUGAUCCAGCCAUGCCGCGUGAGUGAUGAAGGCCUUCGGGUUGUAAAGUUCUUUAGCCGAUGAUUAUAAUGACUGUAGUCGGAAAAUAAGCCCCGGCUAACUUCGUGCCAGCAGCCGCGGUAAUACGAAGGGGGCGAGCGUUAUUCGGAAUCACUGGGCGUAAAGCGUGCGUAGGCGGUUUUGUAAGUUAGGAGUGAAAGCCCAGGGCUCAACCUUGGAAUUGCUCUUAAAACUGCAAGGCUCGAAUCUCGGAGAGGAUAGCGGAAUUUCCAGUGUAGCAGUGAAAUGCGUAGAUAUUGGAAGGAACACCAGUGGCGUAAGCGGCUAUCUGGACGAGUAUUGACGCUGAGGCACGAAAGCGUGGGGAUCAAACAGGAUUAGAAACCCCGGUAGUCC